This 1249-nucleotide long non-coding RNA is filed under the name Homo sapiens (human). Its description in RNAcentral is "HSALNT0389301". The record is from RNAcentral. Lineage: Eukaryota; Metazoa; Chordata; Mammalia; Primates; Hominidae.
UGGUGGUAGGUGCUGGUUCUGCUGGCUAGCCACACAUACACAAUAGUGCAUACACAUGUGUACACGCUCACACUCCUUGUCAGGCAUCUUGCCGCUCCCCCUAAUAAUCACCAUCAGUAUCUAUAGCACAGCCAGGCCAGGAUGAGCUCUUUCCAGAAUCUGCUCAGGCUGGGCUGCAGAUGAUGGAUCUGAGGGCACCCGGGGCCUGCAGAGCACAGCAUGCAGGAAACUGCUCACAGUCACUGUUGUCAGUGUUCACGCCAUCACAGGCAGACUCGCCGGCAUACCACACCACCCAUCACAGGCACCGAAGCCAAACCACGUUGGGGAUUCAUCUAUUUAUAGGGACCACGUUUUUCUUGCAUGCCCACAGCGUGGCAGCUGCAGCAGGGGUCUGAAGCCCUGGUCACUGCCGGUGGCCUGGCACCAUGGGGGCUGUGCCCAGUGGGCUUUGGAAGGUGAGCAGUGGACAAAGAGGCCCCACCCUAACCAUCUUCUCCUUGCCUGGAACCUGGCGGCUCUGUGCUUGCAUCUUGAUUCCAGCUGACCCUGCUUUUCCACUCUGGGUGGCAACUCUUGAACCCAGGUCUUACUGACCCCAGAGAGUCAGCCACUGCUCCCUGUUGCCUUCCUGGGCCAGAGACUCUCACGGGGCUGUCUGCACUAAAGUGUUCUUUCUAUCCCCUGGCGCCCUGAGCAUCAAAGAAGCUUUACUCACUACGUGGGGACCCCUCGCCUUGGAUCACAAAGAGUCUCGACCUUCCUGGACAUCAGCUCAGACCAGAUGAUGUUAAAAAGCUUCGUUGCCGUUGCUGUCUGAUUGAUUACCAGCCAGAUACUCCCUGAACCCAUGCCCAGCCACCCACGCCUCCCUAAUUUCAAGGUCUGAAGGCCAGAUGGACUCAAGCAAGCCAUUUGCCUUUCUGAAAUCUCAGCUGCCUCAUCUGAGCAAGUGAGAUAAGCCGGCUUAUCUUGCCGCUGUGAAGCUGUCUGCAAGGCAAGGUGCCUAAUAAACGUCAGCCAUUACUCACGGGAAUCAAAGCAAAUGCUUAGCGAGCCUUCCUUUGUGCCAGGCACUGUUCUGAGCGCUCUAUGCAUAUGAAUUUGUUUAAUCCUCGCCACCACCUGGGAAGCAGAUACCAUUAUUAUUCCCAUUUUACAGGGGAGGAAACUGAGACAUAGAAAGGCAAAGUCAUUCAGAAUUAAGGUCACACAGUUCGUAGAAGACGGCUGAACACAAGAGGCCUGG